This 394-nucleotide long non-coding RNA is filed under the name Salvia miltiorrhiza (redroot sage). Its description in RNAcentral is "long non-coding RNA (SMIL_LNC001258)". The record is from RNAcentral. Lineage: Eukaryota; Viridiplantae; Streptophyta; Magnoliopsida; Lamiales; Lamiaceae.
GGGAUUUGCGGGUUUUGCAGAGGCGGCGUUGAUUGGGGGAUGGAAGACCGACGGCUGCAAACUUGGUAGAUCUAUGAUAAACUAAACUGAAGAUCUAGGGCUCGAUGGUCGCCGGGAAUUGAAGAGAGAAUCGAGGGAGGAGACUGAAAUUGGGUACCUAGGGUUCCAGGUGGCGAAUCGUGGUGUAGUGUUUGUGUCGUGUCGUCGCGUUGUGAGGUGGUCAUGGUGUGGUGUUUGUGUCGUGGCGUGGUGGUGGAAGGCGACGACUGGAGACAAGGUCGCGCUGUGCGGCGCAGCGGAGAUGGAGGAUGGCGGCGAAUCUGGGGCGCAAUGGGCCAGGGAAGAAAAAGAGGGCACACUCUAGCGGCUGGCCUGAGCGGUGGUAGCAGAAUCC